RNAcentral lists this non-coding RNA (168 nucleotides) under human gut metagenome. RNAcentral describes it as "Lysine riboswitch". It matches the Rfam family "Lysine riboswitch aptamer". Rfam says of the family: Riboswitches are metabolite binding domains within certain messenger RNAs that serve as precision sensors for their corresponding targets. Allosteric rearrangement of mRNA structure is mediated by ligand binding, and this results in modulation of gene expression. The record is from RNAcentral. RNAcentral also lists the same sequence under 2 other names.
UAUAUAGAGGCGCGGAACCAAUCAGUCGCCUGCCCGAGACGCUCAAACGUCGCUGACGGCAUGCAAAAGGUGCUUCCGCCGAAAUGGUCCGGUGUUUGAGAGCCGGUACUGUUGGGCGUACAGAGAAAAUCUGUACGACUGUCGCAAUAUGUUUUGCGGAGUGCUAUA